GAUCAUGGCUCAGGACGAACGCUGGCGGCGUGCCUAAUACAUGCAAGUAGAACGCUGAAGAGAGGAGCUUGCUCUUCUUGGAUGAGUUGCGAACGGGUGAGUAACGCGUAGGUAACCUGCCUUGUAGCGGGGGAUAACUAUUGGAAACGAUAGCUAAUACCGCAUAACAAUGGAUGACCCAUGUCAUUUAUUUUGAAAGGGGCGAAAUGCUCCACUACAAGAUGGACCUGCGUUG
RNAcentral lists this ribosomal RNA (235 nucleotides) under uncultured bacterium. RNAcentral describes it as "partial 16S ribosomal RNA". It matches the Rfam family "Bacterial small subunit ribosomal RNA", at positions 15 to 238 of the family's 1533-position model. The record is from RNAcentral.